GCUACAUGCUACCGUAUGCUACUCGCGGCGCUAUCCUGCUGAAAGUCAACAGCACACCCUGCGGUCUCGUUGCCGGUCGUCUUACUCAAGAUGGUGCUGACUUUCCUCCUAAAGUACUGCCCUGAGAAGACAUACAGCAGUGGGUUCAGUGUGCUGUUGAGAAAAGCCAGAUACACUGAAACCUGGGUUCCUAUAUCGAGAGCAUGGAACCACAACUUCUCAUCCAGCACUUGGACAUCACAGAGUAUGUCGAGGAAUGUGAAGACCUGGAAGGGGCCCCAACACAGACAGGCAGGACAAAGCCGACCACAUUCAACAAAAUCUGAUGGGCCAACUUCCAAGACACGCCCGGAGUAUAAUCCAAAAUACAGGAGAUUGUUCCGAUUUCCUGGAUAAAUGCCACUUUUCUGUGAACCAUUGUUGGAAUGCUAAAUGCAAGAGCUAAAAUCCACAAGAGGAAGCAGAUCACCUUGGCAUAAAGUGUUCGUCUUAGCCACCUGGCCUUCAUGGUCUUUACCAGGGCCAGGUAACGGUCAACACUUAUCAUGACCAGGGUGAAGAUACUAGUGUAGAAAUUGAUGAGGAUGAUGGAGUUGACCAGUUUGCAUAAUGUGUCUCCGUACGGCCAGUUAAAGUUGUUGAGGAUGUUCAUUGCCCAGAAGGGGAGGGCACACAGGAGGAUAAAGUCAGCCAGCACCAGGUUGCUCAGGUAGAUCUCGGCUACAGUCAGUCGAUCCUUGUGGGCGAAGAACACACACAGGACAAAGAUGUUUAAGAGAAGGCCUAACAGGCACAGCAUGAAGAUGUACGGGGGAAUGAUGGCACGGACAAGCUCCCAUUCUGCAGUGAUAGGAAACUCUGAUGGCAGGGAAGCACUGCUGUUUUCAGACCGCAAUGUCGCCAUAGUUACAAGCAUCAUUGGCUCCAUAGGCUAGAAAACAAAAACAAUUAGGCAUGACUCAUCAGUAAAAUGUUUAAAAUGAGACAAAUUACAUGGUUUAUUUGACCAGACCGAUUCAGAGAAAGACAAUAAGGUAUUGGCUUUAACAAAAAAAGCUAAAUAAUGAUAAAAAUGUUGCCCACAUGAUGACAUUUUCACAUUUAGGGAGCUUCAGUGAGGGAGAAAAUAACAAGCAGCGUUAAUUAACUUUCCUUUAGAUUAACACCGCUUUAAAUAUUUCUCAGUUCCUGAUUGAAAUGUGUUUCCAUGUGGUAGCUUGAAUAAUGCUGUGCCAUCAAUAAGGCUAAACAAAUGUCUACGUCAUUAUAUGUCAAGCUGAGUCUAUGCUGAAAGACUAUGUAAUAUCUCUAGGUAUUUGUAAAGUACAAACGUUGAUGCUCAAGCAGAAAAUAGGAAAGAAUAUGGAGUGGAAAAGUUCUUACCGUGUUCUUCAUGAAAAUGUUCUUCCUAUGGUCAAAAUGCUAAUGAUAAGAGACAAGUCUGGAACAGGGCUCAUGUGUGUACACUGAGAUCCCACUCAGAGUGCAAAGCAAGUCAGAGGAAAGACCUGUUGCAAGAGUUUUUGUAUACAGUUGCAUUCUUCCACAUCCUUCGCCAAGUAUGCAAUAUAUCAACUUGUUUAGGAGAGAGUCAAAGUUUGUUCAAUGCACAAAUUGUGUCGUAGAAAAUCUGAAACUGCAUCGCACUAAACGUGUUGGAGAGUGUUCAACUCCAUCAGUAGACUAUCAAGGAAGAUAGGAAGGUAGUUUUAUGUAUUUUAUUAAACUAAAAAGGAGUUUCUGUGUUAUCAUAACAACAAUCCUCAUGUCCAAAGGGAAAAUAACAUGCAGUUGAUUUUGAUGAGUUUAUCCACCCGAUAAAAUCGAUGAACAGGAUUUGUAUGUUUUUAUUGUGUAA
This is a long non-coding RNA of Eleginops maclovinus (Patagonian blennie), 1858 nucleotides long. RefSeq lists it as uncharacterized. The record is from RefSeq and is a predicted model, not a curated record. NCBI's taxonomy places the organism in Eukaryota, Metazoa, Chordata, Actinopteri, Perciformes, Eleginopidae. The transcript has 3 exons.